GACAGCAGUCGCCGCGGUAAUACCGAGGGUGCGAGCGUUAAUCGGAUUUACUGGGCGUAAAGCGUGCGUAGGCGGCUUCUUAAGUCGGAUGUGAAAUCCCUGAGCUUAACUUAGGAAUUGCAUUCGAUACUGGGAAGCUAGAGUAUGGGAGAGGAUGGUAGAAUUCCAGGUGUAGCGGUGAAAUGCGUAGAGAUCUGGAGGAAUACCGAUGGCGAAGGCAGCCAUCUGGCCUAAUACUGACGCUGAGGUACGAAAGCAUGGGGAGCAAACAGGAUUAGAGACCCCAGUAGUCCUGUCUCUUAUACA
This 306-nucleotide ribosomal RNA is filed under the name uncultured bacterium. RNAcentral's name for it is "partial 16S ribosomal RNA". It matches the Rfam family "Bacterial small subunit ribosomal RNA", at positions 507 to 809 of the family's 1533-position model. The record is from RNAcentral.